RNAcentral lists this small RNA (149 nucleotides) under Psychrobacter sp. LV10R520-6. Its description in RNAcentral is "Flavo-1 RNA". It matches the Rfam family "Flavo-1 RNA". Lineage: Bacteria; Pseudomonadati; Pseudomonadota; Gammaproteobacteria; Moraxellales; Moraxellaceae. The record is from RNAcentral.
GUUUAGCCCUGAUUGAAGCGGAUAUACUUGGUUGAUCACUAGAUUGCGGUGACUUAGCUAGAAGUGUUAUCGAGAUAACAGGAACGCUACUAGCUAAUAGUCACCGUUCUAGCGAGCAAUCAGGAUAGUAGCGAAAAGCAGGACUAGCU